GUCAUCCAUUUGCUUGGUGAUGUCACAGACCCCCAUCUCACAGCUCCCGAUAAGAAAACUUGUUCAAUGGUCAAUCAAGGGUCAAAAGACCACCUGCUGGCAAGGAUUGUCAAGAGGGAGUCAGGAAGAAAACAGCCUUUUAGAAGUGGAAACCAAACUCUGGGACCAAAUUAUCUGAAAAGAUGACAUUGGGAAAAGGCACAGGAAGUGAAGAUGAAAGAAGGGAUUAAGAAUCCCGCAAAGAUAGUGCUGGCCAGAGCUAAGGCACUCUCUGAAUUCUUUAGUUUGGUCUGAAGCCAGGCAUAAUCAUUAAGAGUAAAAUCUUACUCUAGAAAUAGGAGUGGAAAUCUGAACCCUCGAGCACUUCGAGUUCUGUCCAACAGACAAGACCUGAGGCAGAGCUGUAGCCUCACAGACAUGUGCAGAGAUGGGCUCUGUGUACCAGGAGGAGCGUUGAAGAAGUGGCCUGGUGAGCAUCCACCCUGUUGAAAGAGCUCGCCAUGAAAGCCCUUUGUGCAGCUGCUCCCUCCAGCCUUCUCCACGCAGUCAGACCCCUGCUCUGUGCAGACUCCGGGCUGUUAAAGGUAAUGGCUUCAUUUAUUUCCGGCACCACCAGACUUCUCCAGCACCCCCACAAAGAGGAACCUCUGGCCGGCUGCUGCUCCUGGGCUGUCAGCUCGGAGGAGAGGAGCUGCAUUCUCAGAGGUCUGUGCCUCCCCCUCUCAGCCCUCAGCGACACCAACUCAGGAAUGACCCACAGGAGUCCAUACACUUGCAUUAAAAUCUUUG
This is a long non-coding RNA of Talpa occidentalis (Iberian mole), 789 nucleotides long. RefSeq lists it as uncharacterized. The transcript has 3 exons. NCBI's taxonomy places the organism in Eukaryota, Metazoa, Chordata, Mammalia, Eulipotyphla, Talpidae. The record is from RefSeq and is a predicted model, not a curated record.